RNAcentral lists this long non-coding RNA (1122 nucleotides) under Mytilus galloprovincialis (Mediterranean mussel). The record is from RNAcentral. Lineage: Eukaryota; Metazoa; Mollusca; Bivalvia; Mytilida; Mytilidae.
AGAUAAUUGAAAGGAAUGUAGGACAUGAUAUUGGAUAGACUUCGGAGUUUUUCAUUAAGUAAAUAAAUCAGAUUUACGUGUCAGGUAAGUUUAUUGGAAUAUAAUUUUUUUUAAAAGAUGUGGUAUGAUGACCAAUUAGACAUAUCUCAACCAGAGAGGAAAUGACUUAGAAGGUAACAACUAUAGGUCACCUUACAGUCUUCAACAAUAAACAAAACCCAUACCGCAAAUAAGCAAUAAAUGACCACCAAAAUGGCAAUUCUCUGUUUAAAAUGGCAGCUGACACUUUCAAAGCAGAAAAAAUUCAUCCUCAAGAAAACUGCGUUGUAUAGAAUCAAUCCAGAUGUUGCUGAUAGGUUGUUUGCUGUAUUAGUUUAAGUUUCCUGUUUUUGAUAUACUUCUUUUUAUUAUCAAUUCAAUUGUCUUGUUGAAUCUAAUUUUCAUCUUCCGCGUUUUGUUCUUAUGGCUGCAUUCUGAUUUCAGUAAUAACGCAGUGUUAACUUUUUUUUUGUAAAUGUCCUUGAGUCGUAUAUAUAUAUUUUUUGAAGAUUUAAAUGUAUACCUUAUUUUCAGAUCCAUCCAUCCAUCCAUGAUCCUUCAAUCAAUCAAUUAAUCAAUCAUUAAAAUAUUAAAGAUGUUUGCAAAAAGAGUAGAAAUUAAUAAAAUUGAGAAUGGAAAUGGGGAAUGUGACAAAAAACAACAACCCGGCCAAAGAGCAGAAAACAGCAGAAGGCCACCAAUGGAUCUUCAACACAGCGAGAAAAUCCCGCAACCGGAGGUGCAGCUGGCCCCUAAACAAAGAUGUGUACUAGUUCAGUAAUAAUGGCCGUCAUACUAAACUCCGAAAUAAAUAAAUAUUGAAAUCAAAAUUCAAACAAGACUAAAAAGACAUGCUUCUAAUGAGUAAAUCAGAGCGAGGAGUUUAUUACUAAGCCUUGUCAUGGAGAUUGCCAUUGUGAAAUAACAGCCUGCAUUCUGUAGUACUACAAAAAUUAUCAUGAUGUGAUCACAAACUGAUAUGGAGAUACGCAUAUUCUGUACUUUUCUUUGAUAGGUUUCUAUUAUGAUUUUUGAUGUCGUUUAUAUCUGAUCAUUCAAUAAAUUUCCAAUUUACUUCAACCG